RNAcentral lists this ribosomal RNA (256 nucleotides) under uncultured Actinomycetales bacterium. RNAcentral's name for it is "partial 16S ribosomal RNA". It matches the Rfam family "Bacterial small subunit ribosomal RNA", at positions 77 to 334 of the family's 1533-position model. Lineage: Bacteria; Bacillati; Actinomycetota; Actinomycetes; Actinomycetales. The record is from RNAcentral.
CUUUUGUGGGGUGCUCGAGUGGCGAACGGGUGAGUAACACGUGAGUAACCUGCCCUUGACUUUGGGAUAACUUCAGGAAACUGGGGCUAAUACCGGAUAGGAGCUCCUGCUGCAUGGUGGGGGUUGGAAAGUUUCGGCGGUUGGGGAUGGACUCGCGGCUUAUCGGCUUGUUGGUGGGGUAGUGGCUUACCAAGGCUUUGACGGGUAGCCGGCCGGAGAGGGUGACCGGCCACAUUGGGACUGAGAUACGGCCCAG